GCGCUCACUUUGGCAGCAUAUAUACUAAAAUUGGAACAAUACAGAGAUUAGCAUGGCCCCUGUGUAAGGAUGAAUUCUCCUCUUCUAUAGGUGGGAAGACUAACA
Suncus etruscus (white-toothed pygmy shrew) is the source of this 105-nucleotide small nuclear RNA. The record is from RefSeq and is a predicted model, not a curated record. NCBI's taxonomy places the organism in Eukaryota, Metazoa, Chordata, Mammalia, Eulipotyphla, Soricidae.